Molecule: ribosomal RNA, 1126 nt
Filed under: Escherichia coli
Lineage: Bacteria; Pseudomonadati; Pseudomonadota; Gammaproteobacteria; Enterobacterales; Enterobacteriaceae
Description: partial 23S ribosomal RNA
Rfam family: Bacterial large subunit ribosomal RNA
Source: RNAcentral
ACGUGGUAUCCUGUCUGAAUAUGGGGGGACCAUCCUCCAAGGCUAAAUACUCCUGACUGACCGAUAGUGAACCAGUACCGUGAGGGAAAGGCGAAAAGAACCCCGGCGAGGGGAGUGAAAAAGAACCUGAAACCGUGUACGUACAAGCAGUGGGAGCACGCUUAGGCGUGUGACUGCGUACCUUUUGUAUAAUGGGUCAGCGACUUAUAUUCUGUAGCAAGGUUAACCGAAUAGGGGAGCCGAAGGGAAACCGAGUCUUAACUGGGCGUUAAGUUGCAGGGUAUAGACCCGAAACCCGGUGAUCUAGCCAUGGGCAGGUUGAAGGUUGGGUAACACUAACUGGAGGACCGAACCGACUAAUGUUGAAAAAUUAGCGGAUGACUUGUGGCUGGGGGUGAAAGGCCAAUCAAACCGGGAGAUAGCUGGUUCUCCCCGAAAGCUAUUUAGGUAGCGCCUCGUGAAUUCAUCUCCGGGGGUAGAGCACUGUUUCGGCAAGGGGGUCAUCCCGACUUACCAACCCGAUGCAAACUGCGAAUACCGGAGAAUGUUAUCACGGGAGACACACGGCGGGUGCUAACGUCCGUCGUGAAGAGGGAAACAACCCAGACCGCCAGCUAAGGUCCCAAAGUCAUGGUUAAGUGGGAAACGAUGUGGGAAGGCCCAGACAGCCAGGAUGUUGGCUUAGAAGCAGCCAUCAUUUAAAGAAAGCGUAAUAGCUCACUGGUCGAGUCGGCCUGCGCGGAAGAUGUAACGGGGCUAAACCAUGCACCGAAGCUGCGGCAGCGACGCUUAUGCGUUGUUGGGUAGGGGAGCGUUCUGUAAGCCUGUGAAGGUGUGCUGUGAGGCAUGCUGGAGGUAUCAGAAGUGCGAAUGCUGACAUAAGUAACGAUAAAGCGGGUGAAAAGCCCGCUCGCCGGAAGACCAAGGGUUCCUGUCCAACGUUAAUCGGGGCAGGGUGAGUCGACCCCUAAGGCGAGGCCGAAAGGCGUAGUCGAUGGGAAACAGGUUAAUAUUCCUGUACUUGGUGUUACUGCGAAGGGGGGACGGAGAAGGCUAUGUUGGCCGGGCGACGGUUGUCCCGGUUUAAGCGUGUAGGCUGGUUUUCCAGGCAAAUCCGGAAAAUCAA